CCAGCAGCCGCGGUAAUACGUAGGUGGCAAGCGUUAUCCGGAAUUAUUGGGCGUAAAGCGCGCGUAGGCGGUUUUUUAAGUCUGAUGUGAAAGCCCACGGCUCAACCGUGGAGGGUCAUUGGAAACUGGAAAACUUGAGUGCAGAAGAGGAAAGUGGAAUUCCAUGUGUAGCGGUGAAAUGCGCAGAGAUAUGGAGGAACACCAGUGGCGAAGGCGACUUUCUGGUCUGUA
This 231-nucleotide ribosomal RNA is filed under the name Salmonella enterica subsp. enterica serovar Typhimurium. Its description in RNAcentral is "partial 16S ribosomal RNA". It matches the Rfam family "Bacterial small subunit ribosomal RNA", at positions 508 to 738 of the family's 1533-position model. The record is from RNAcentral. Lineage: Bacteria; Pseudomonadati; Pseudomonadota; Gammaproteobacteria; Enterobacterales; Enterobacteriaceae.